GACGAACGCUGGCGGCGUGCCUAAUACAUGCAAGUCGAGCGGAACUGGGGGAGCUUGCUCCUUCCAGUUUAGCGGCGGACGGGUGAGUAACACGUGGGCAACCUGCCCUGCAGAUCGGGAUAACUCCGGGAAACCGGUGCUAAUACCGAAUAGUUUGGCGCCUCUCCUGCGGCGCUACGGAAAGACGGUUUCGGCUGUCACUGCAGGCUGGGCCCGCGGCGCAUUAGCUAGUUGGUGGGGUAACGGCCCACCAAGGCGACGAUGCGUAGCCGACCUGAGAGGGUGACCGGCCACACUGGGACUGAGACACGGCCCAGACUCCUACGGGAGGCAGCAGUAGGGAAUCUUCCGCAAUGGACGCAAGUCUGACGGAGCAACGCCGCGUGAGUGACGAAGGUUUUCGGAUCGUAAAACUCUGUUGCGAGGGAAGAACACGUACCAACUAACUAUUGGUACCUUGACGGUACCUCACCAGAAAGCCACGGCUAACUACGUGCCAGCCGCCGCCGUAA
Molecule: ribosomal RNA, 512 nt
Filed under: uncultured bacterium
Lineage: Bacteria
Description: partial 16S ribosomal RNA
Rfam family: Bacterial small subunit ribosomal RNA
Source: RNAcentral